Molecule: long non-coding RNA, 809 nt
Organism: Arachis duranensis
Lineage: Eukaryota; Viridiplantae; Streptophyta; Magnoliopsida; Fabales; Fabaceae
Exons: 2
Source: RefSeq, a predicted model, not a curated record
AUAGCCUUGCAAAUUUGGAAGCAACGCGGUGGCUCCACGUGGCAAGCAAAGCAUCGUGGAGAUUCCGAUUUGCUUGCGUGGCUUGAUUUUAUUCACUGGGUUCACACUAGGCCAUGUGGGAUAUAUGUGGAUGGAUGGAUGUGCUCUUCUCCACCUGAUUUGAUUCUCUCUCUCUCUCUCUUAUAUCAUCGACCACACCCAACCCAUAAUUUAUCAUCACCAACUCCAACCCUUCCUUUUAUUCAUUUCGCACACGCACUCGCGUAUUUCGGAAACUGCAGUCACGCGCUCUUGUGGGACCCACACCCACGUGGUCUAUGAGUCUAUGGCAUUUUUUGCUUUUUCCAUUGGUUAAUUCCAGUAUUCUCCGCUGCUUCCUCUGGCUACCACACCCCAUGCUCUUGUGGGUGUGUUUUAUUUUAUUUCUUCUUCUUUUUUUUUUCUUAAUAUAAUUAUUAAUUAUUAUUCUGUGUGCGGUGAUGAAGAGGAAACAACGCCGUUUUCGUAAUGAGAAUGGAGUAGUAGUGUAGUACCGAUUCCAAGUCUAGAAUAGCCGUUUUUCAACGUUGGUUCGUCAACUCUUGCUAGUGCACGGAGACUUGAGCUUCGAUUGCCAGGAAAAUUGACGAAUCUACUGAAUUGAAGUAGUAUUAUAUUUGAACUUCCCCAGCUGAUACAACCUUUUUGUCUGUAUGUAUCUAUUGAUCUGUCUUGCAAGUUAAUUAUGCACAUGAUGAAGCAUGAAUGCAUGACUGUAUCAGCAAUUCAGCGAGGACGAUAUAUAUAAUUCAUUCGUUUUGUUUCUCAUA